This 427-nucleotide long non-coding RNA is filed under the name Ricinus communis (castor bean). RNAcentral describes it as "long non-coding RNA (RCOM_LNC000274)". Lineage: Eukaryota; Viridiplantae; Streptophyta; Magnoliopsida; Malpighiales; Euphorbiaceae. The record is from RNAcentral.
UGGUGGACUUGAAACUUUCAGAGAUGUUUGCAGAACUUUUGCAAAAGAAUGACAUGCAAACUCGUCCAAAGAGAUUUACUGCUUGGUGGGCUCGAGAUUUACUGCACUUGCAGGUGUCGAUUCUAAGAAGUCAAGAGAGACGAGCAUCAAACUGCUCUUGAUGCUUACUUGCAAGAAAUCAAGAUCGUUUUGCAACGAACUUGCUGCUAUUAAUUCAUCAUCCUGUAAAUGAUAGCAAUAAUAAGGUAUAUUGGUCAUAUGCUAUGCAAUCUGUCAAAAAGAAUUCUUCGCUAUUCUUGAUUUCGAAAUUAAAUACAUUUACUAAACAUGAAUAUUCUGAUACCAUUUAUCGAUUUUGUGCGUGUCAGCCAUGCUAAUUCUUUGCCCUCUCCGGAGUAUACGUUUAAUGGAGAUAAUGUGGUUUGGG